This 200-nucleotide ribosomal RNA is filed under the name uncultured organism. Its description in RNAcentral is "partial small subunit ribosomal RNA". It matches the Rfam family "Bacterial small subunit ribosomal RNA", at positions 1182 to 1382 of the family's 1533-position model. The record is from RNAcentral.
AUGUCAAGUCCUCAUGGCCCUUACGGGUCGGGCUACACACGUGCUACAAUGGCGGUGACAGUGGGAUGCGAUGGAGUGAUCCUGAGCAAAUCUCCAAAAGCCGUCUCAGUUCGGAUUGGAGUCUGCAACUCGACUCCAUGAAGUCGGAAUCGCUAGUAAUCGCGGAUCAGCACGCCGCGGUGAAUACGUUCCCGGGCCUU